Non-coding RNA from Lactuca sativa (garden lettuce), 2820 nucleotides. Lineage: Eukaryota; Viridiplantae; Streptophyta; Magnoliopsida; Asterales; Asteraceae. The record is from RefSeq and is a predicted model, not a curated record.
GUCUCUCUCUCUCUCUCUCUCUCUCUCUCUCUCUCUUUCUCUCUCUCUCUCUCUCUCUCUCUCUAUAUAUAUAUAUAUAUAUAUAUAUAUAUAUAUAUAUAUAUAUAUAUAUAUAUAUAUAAUGUUGGUAAUCUGUAGGGAAAAUUAUGUGGGUAAGGCUGGAGAAUUAUUCUUUAGUUUGAUCCCACAUAGGAAGGAACAUUAAACUUUAUUGGGUUUAUAUAACCACCUUUAUAUGAAAUGCUAUGAUGGCUUGCCGACUUUGCCUUCCAGAUUUUUUUACUUAUUGUACUAGGAGUUGGUUACUGAUUUUUGAGUAUAAAUACAACCUUUCCUGUUGUAUUUUAUACCAUAUGGAAGUUAGAAACCUCAUGUGAAUUCUCUCCCAUUACGAGCUCUCCUCCCACAGUUUGAAUUCCCUCGUUUCCUUUGUAUUUUCUGCUGCAAAAGCCAUUUUUCCUCAAGGUAUUUACUCCUUGUUUUCAGUGAUAUGUUGAUCCCAUAGUUGCUUGAAGUGAACGAUUGUUUGCGUCAUAUCCUGGGGUUUUACGACUUGUAGGACCGAUAGCUGACAAUGACAUGGAACUGACGGGCCGUGAGGGCAUGGAUAGUUUAAUGUGCUCAUCAACGUCUGAUCCUGAGAUGUGGAUCAUACAAAGCUUAUUAGCAUGGUGUACUCCUGUUCGAAACCGGGGUUUGAAACCAAACUUCUCCUCAGGAGGAUAGAUGGGGAGAUUCAUGUCAUAUCCAACUUUCGAUUCACUUGUGGGAUCCGGGCAAAACCUUCUCCCAUUUCAAGUAGCGUAACACCCAAUUAACUACUUGUAACACAUGGCCUAUUUGAAAUAGUCUUUAAUUAAACCUUUAAAAAUAUUUCAGAGAUUUAGUUUGUGAAAAACGGUCCUAAAAUUUAAAUCAAAUUAUUUUCAGAGUUUAAAUGUGGAUAACGAUCCCAAACAUAAAUAUCCAAACAUUUAGGGUUUAAGAAAAACAUUUCAUGCGAGAGUGUCACAGUAGAUAUCAAAACAAAGGUUUAAGAAGUCAUUACAAACCAAGGGUCUUCUAAAUGUUCAAGCUUGUAAAUCUUCUAAGCUCCUGAUAAUAUCCACUAACCUGCAAAUUUAUCAAAGUAGUAGGUUUGGCUAUGGGGAGCCUAAUGAGUACAAUCCCGGGUUAGACAUUAUAUUGAUAACGUAUGAAUGAACACUUCGGUUCAUACACUAAUGUACAAACCUGUACCUUCUUAAAACAACAUAAUGAAUAGUUAGCUUGGGGUAAAAUAUGACAUAAGUCAAAGUACAUUGUCAUAAAUGUCAAAUCUCAUAUAAACUUCACAAACAGAUAAACAAUACAAGUUGAUUGUGCCUUAAUUAGGCAAUUCUCAACAAUCAAAACCCACACAAAAUCAUAUAGAUAGAUAGAUACUCGCAUGAGUUCAAAACACUCGGAUUCGAUAAUCCGAUGAAAACCAUUAUACAAAACUUUGUUUUUUUUCCAAAAAGAUUUGUUUUAAGGAAGAAACAACUCGAAUAGAUAAUGCAAUGCAUGCAACUAUCCCAACCCAUGUCAAUCUCGAUAAAUCCAACCUCACAAUGCAAUCUCACAACGCUAAAUGGCGGUGGACACUUAAGGGGUCUUCCCUCAAGUUAUUAGAAAAUGUGGGUCUCCCUUCUUCUGUGUCUACACUCUGCAUAAGUGACUCUUCCACCAUCAAUAUAGGAACUAGGUAGCCAUGAUCCCUAGCUCCAAAUAAGGGGUAGCAAGCCCACAUAUACAGGUAUGCAUCCACAAAUAGGAUGUCAAAACACUUUCAAAAUAGAUAUUUGCUUUUGUUAUCAAAUCACUUCAAAAAAUCUUGUUUCAUGAAUGCAAACAAGUAUAUGCACAUAUAAUCAAGUAGCAAUCAAGUAUAUGUUAGAUAAUUUUCAAAUCACAAGAUCAGUAAUAAGGGAUGUAUGCUUCCAAAACUUAAGAUAAAGAUCAAAAGGGUAGUCAUACCCGUAAUACCAAAAAUAAGGUAAAUCCCCCUUCAAUAAAUUCACAUUAUCAAAAGCAUGUCCUUAGUUCGAUAAAGGACAUCCUCGACACAUAAACAUGGGCGAGGUUAGUUGAUGCCAAGGUGGGUCACUUGACCCAACUAAAUUUAAAAAUUUUACAAUAAGUUAUAUACAAAAAAAUAUUUAGGACCUACCUUAAAUAUUUUGAAGCAUCUACCUUAAUGUCUUUAGCAAAACAAAUGAAGGAAAAAAGAGGUAUAAACUAUAUAGACAAUAGAAGGCAUAUCAUAUUUUGUGGCAUUAAGGAGUCACACGUCGACUCCAUUAAUGAAAGUGGUGAGGUGCUUGAGCUUCCAUUAUAAAUUGAUAUUUCCUCUUUCACACCUCCGCACCAUAAGCUUGUUGGAGGCAUGGUUUAGACCGACUUAUUCGAAUUAUAAGUUGGCUUUAGUAAAAAAAAGUUAUGAAGGACCGAUUUGGGCUGGGUCCUUUCACCACCAAUUUUUAUAAAUGUUGAAUCGGUUAUUUUUCUGGUUGUACUAGCCUAGUCGAUUUUCUCUUGAACCAACCCGGUUGAACUCAAUCAAGGAACACAUAAUAUACAUAUAACAUUCAAACAAUUUAUAUGUAUGCACAUAUUAUCAUAAAAUAGGAAAACACAAAAAAAAUAUCCAUAUAUUAGGGACAAGUGUUUCAAGGUAAAUGUAUUCACCUUGGUCCAAUGCUUAGCAAUACUAAAAUCUUCUUUACUUGAACAACACCUCUUCAAACUUAUGUUUCCAAGUUAACACCUAAUACCUUUUGUGUUAAUCAUACAAUAUUG